ACGACGCAGCAGCCUAAGCUUCGCCUAUCCAAGGCGCGGCGCGGAGGAACCACUUCCCUUGCUUUCAUCGGCACGGGACGGGGCGCAGGAGCCGGGUAACCGGAACUCCGGGUCACUUCCAUGACCCAGCCCGUCAGCUAACUUCGUCGGCACAUGGAAGGGCGAU
This 166-nucleotide small RNA is filed under the name Verrucomicrobiaceae bacterium. Its description in RNAcentral is "c-di-AMP sequence". It matches the Rfam family "c-di-AMP riboswitch aptamer (ydaO/yuaA leader)". Rfam says of the family: This family represents a conserved RNA structure found upstream of the ydaO and yuaA genes in Bacillus subtilis and related genes in other bacteria. The ydaO/yuaA element is thought to act as a genetic "off" switch for the ydaO and yuaA genes in its native state. It is believed that the element may be triggered during osmotic shock leading to activation of ydaO, a predicted amino acid transporter gene, and members of the yuaA-yubG operon which code for KtrA and KtrB K+ transporters. Lineage: Bacteria; Pseudomonadati; Verrucomicrobiota; Verrucomicrobiia; Verrucomicrobiales; Verrucomicrobiaceae. The record is from RNAcentral.